UGAGGAAUAUUGGUCAAUGGACGCAAGUCUGAACCAGCCAAGUAGCGUGCAGGAUGACGGCCCUAUGGGUUGUAAACUGCUUUUAUAUGGGGAUAAAGUGGGGAACGUGUUCCCUUUUGCAGGUACCAUAUGAAUAAGGACCGGUUAAUUCCGUGCCAGCAGCCGCGGUAAUACGGAAGGUUCGGGCGUUAUCCGGAUUUAGUGGGUUUAAAGGGAGCGUAGGCCGUUUGGUAAGCGUGUUGUGAAAUGUAGGAGCUCAACUUCUAGAUUGCAGCGCGAACUGUCAGACUUGAGUGCGCACAACGUAGGCGGAAUUCAUGGUGUAGCGGUGAAAUGCUUAGAUAUCAUGACGAACUCCGAUUGCGAAGGCAGCUUACGGGAGCGCAACUGACGCUAAAGCUCGAAGGUGCGGGUAUCGAACAGG
Molecule: ribosomal RNA, 424 nt
Filed under: Verrucomicrobiota bacterium
Lineage: Bacteria; Pseudomonadati; Verrucomicrobiota
Description: Verrucomicrobia bacterium partial 16S ribosomal RNA
Rfam family: Bacterial small subunit ribosomal RNA
Source: RNAcentral